UGAAGGGCGCAAGGUCAUGGUGGAGC
RNAcentral lists this non-coding RNA (26 nucleotides) under Mus musculus (house mouse). Lineage: Eukaryota; Metazoa; Chordata; Mammalia; Rodentia; Muridae. The record is from RNAcentral.